Molecule: transfer-messenger RNA, 351 nt
Filed under: Dehalococcoidia
Lineage: Bacteria; Bacillati; Chloroflexota
Also listed under: 2 other names
Description: UBA2963 sp003215215 Standard tmRNA
Rfam family: transfer-messenger RNA
About the family: Bacterial tmRNA, also known as 10Sa RNA or SsrA, is named for its dual tRNA and mRNA-like properties. Its role is to liberate the mRNA from a stalled ribosome.
Source: RNAcentral
GGGGAUGCGUGGUUUCGACAGGGGAUCAGUUUGGGAGGAUUGCAGGUCGAGUUUGUCAUGCACUCGUAAAUCACAUGGCAAAACAUUAAUUGCCGACGAACCAGUCGCUUUAGCUGCGUAAAUAACGCAACUACGUCUCACGGACUCACCUCGACGGUCAGUGAAGGCGAUAUAUAGCCGAGGUGCGGUGGUAACACUGCCACUGUGGGCCAUCUAAGAAUUUGUGGCAGGUAUUUUGGCAACCCGCCGGUGGGCUCGCCUCUAAUACCUUAUAAACACCGGAUAAACCUGUAGCAUAUCUGUACUGGACGUCUCUUGGACGGGGAGUUCGACCCUCCCCCAUCUCCACCA